Molecule: ribosomal RNA, 492 nt
Filed under: uncultured bacterium
Lineage: Bacteria
Description: partial 16S ribosomal RNA
Rfam family: Bacterial small subunit ribosomal RNA
Source: RNAcentral
AGUGAACGCUGGCGGUAGGCCUAACACAUGCCAGUCGAACGGCAGCACAGUAAGAGCUUGCUCUUACGGGUGGCGAGUGGCGGACGGGUGAGGAAUACAUCGGAAUCUACUUUUUCGUGGGGGAUAACGUAGGGAAACUUACGCUAAUACCGCAUACGACCUACGGGUGAAAGCAGGGGAUCUUCGGACCUUGCGCGACUGAAUGAGCCGAUGUCGGAUUAGCUAGUUGGCGGGGUAAAGGCCCACCAAGGCGACGAUCCGUAGCUGGUCUGAGAGGAUGAUCAGCCACACUGGAGCUGAGACACGGUCCAGACUCCUGCGGGAGGCAGCAGUGGGGAAUAUUGGACAAUGGGCGCAAGCCUGAUCCAGCCAUACCGCGUGGGUGAAGAAGGCCUUCGGGUUGUAAAGCCCUUUUGUUGGGAAAGAAAAGCAGCAGGUUAAUACCCCGCUGUUCUGACGGUACCCAAAGAAUAAGCACCGGCUAACUUCGUG